CGUACACUCCUACGGGAGGCAGCAGUGAGGAAUAUUAGACAAUGGGUGGAAGCCUGAUCCAGCCAUCCCGCGUGCAGGAAGACGGCCCUAUGGGUUGUAAACUGCUUUUAUCUGGGGAUAAACCUACUUACGUGUAAGUAGCUGAAGGUACCAGAAGAAUAAGCACCGGCUAACUCCGUGCCAGCAGCCGCGGUAAUACGGAGGGUGCAAGCGUUAUCCGGAUUUAUUGGGUUUAAAGGGUCCGUAGGCGGACUGAUAAGUCAGUGGUGAAAUCCGACAGCUUAACUGUCGAACUGCCAUUGAUACUGUUAGUCUUGAGUAAGGUUGAAGUGGCUGGAAUAAGUAGUGUAGCGGUGAAAUGCAUAGAUAUUACUUAGAACACCAAUUGCGAAGGCAGGUCACUAAGUCUUAACUGACGCUGAUGGACGAAAGCGUGGGGAGCGAACAGGAUUAGAAACCCUAGUAGUCCC
RNAcentral lists this ribosomal RNA (470 nucleotides) under uncultured organism. Its description in RNAcentral is "partial 16S ribosomal RNA". It matches the Rfam family "Bacterial small subunit ribosomal RNA", at positions 330 to 797 of the family's 1533-position model. The record is from RNAcentral.